GUCCGUCAGGAUCUUACUGCCUAUCUAGACGAUUCCAUCUUGCUAGUGAAACUAAAGCUCAAUACUCCCUGACGUCUCCAGACAAGUGUUUGAGAAGGAGAUUUCUUGCUUCCAUCUGAUGGCGUUAGUUUUAUUCCUUUCUUGAAGAAUCUGGUGACUGUCAGAAAGCCAUUCACUGGUGUGGUGGGGAUACUCUGCUUCCUCUUUAAGGACAGUCAGAAGACACACCAGAUAGUGCACUAGAGCCCUGGAUCUGGGUUCUGUAUUUUUGAUCUGGAAAAAUACCCUAAGAUAAAAGGAAAAGUACAGUAUAUGGAAGAGGGGUGAUCAAAUAAAACUAUCAGAAACAGGCUCAGUUUGGAUUCUAAGAAAUUCUUAUAUUUCUUAAUUCAUCAGUAGUAAAAUUAGAGGAGUUUAUUUUUAAAACAGAAUAUGUAGAAGAGUUGUGUUCUUGUCUUUUUUUUUACUACUCUCUCUCUCUGCUUGGCCUGACUACUAGCACAAUCAGUGGACCCACUCAAGACUGCUGGGGUACAUCUUAUGCUCAUAGAUACUGUAGUUUUUGAUUGAUCAAUAGCGUUAUCAAUACAGUUUAUGAUUUCUAAUACUUUUGCCUGUCCACAUGAUAGCACGAUGUUUCUCAUUAAUGUGGUUGUUUCAUGACGUUGUUUCAGUCAUAAAGUGUGAACCCCAAAGCCUACAAUUUCACUAACUACCUAGCUUUCAGAAAAAUAGUUUCCAAGUUCUGUUACUUCCUAUUCACAGACACAAUAGGACAGAAAAAAGAUAUUAAAAAUACUGUUUAAUUCUCCAAACUGUUUUUCUUUACAAAAGCAAUACAUAUUCAUGAAACAAUUCAGAAAGUACCAGUGAGCAGAAAGAGAGAAAUUUCACCCAUAAUUCGACCACUAGAGUCAAGCAAUAUAUAAAUGGUUCUAAUAGGUAACUGAAAGGGUCAUACAGAAAAAUGUUUUGUAAACUUAGAUUUUUACUUAAUAUGACAGCUUUAGCAUUUUUGUGUCAUUAAAUAUUUCAAAGAUUAUCUACACUCUUUCAACAUGAGCCAAGCCAGCACAUCGCAGACACAGGCCAGCCUGGUCUGUGUCGGAGCCUUUGACUCUGGAGAGUCUCUACUGGUUUUGAGUCACUUUGUUGUUCUCCACGUGGACAUAUUUUGAAAUGGAGGAAUGAUAGGGAAAGUCCACCCUAGGUUAUUGUGAGUUAAAUAAUUGUGGACAAUUGCAAAUCGUAUCACAAGAAUAAUAGAUGUCCACUCUAGAUUUCCACUGAGUGAAAGUCCAGACAAGAUUAACAAUGGGCUGACUCUGAUUCCUGAGCACCUCCUGUGUACCAGUAGCCUUUCAUACGUUGUUUGGUGGUGUCAUUCCCAUGGGGAGUCGAGGGCACCGAAACUGGGAGGGUUUGGAAAUUGCCCAAGGCCACACAGCUAGGAAGGAUUGGAGAUGGUUUUCUAGCUGUUUGAAUCUCCAUGCUCUUUCUGUGAUACCACUUGGCUUCUCCCUAAUAGUGGAGGGAAAAUAUUUUGAACAUAUUUCAGUAAAAACAGAAAGAUUUCUGUGAAUGAUCAGGGCUACAGCUUGGAUUAGUUGCAUGAAUGAAAAACUACAAAUUGAGCUACUUUUAGAUCCUCCACUGACUACUCCCUCUACUGCAGUCUUUGGGCUUCAGGCAUUAAAUGGGAUGGUGCAGAUGUCAAGGUCCCUAUGGCACACUCAGUGACAUCAGUCACCUAAAAUCUGCUAUGAGUCUGAAGCCACUUGAAUGGCUUAUGCCCCUUGAGUGCAAAACAGAAAGCCCACUAUUUAGAAAGCAGAUACCGCCUUGCAGGAGGGUCUUCCUUGCCAUAUUAUUGGAGGCCAUUGCUCACAGUGUUGGAGAGCACCUCCAGCUAUGUGUAGGGAAAGGCAGUGGACUUCUGAGUCGAAAACCCAUCUGGUCCCUUAGGCGGGUCCCUGAGCCUCUUUACUUUUCUCCAAACGAUAUCAUUGGGCAAAGCCCCCAGGACAGUGUCCAGUCUGUGGUUGGCUUGGAACAGAUUUCCCACUGAGCGCCAAUUAGCAGGGGUGAAGUCCUUCCAGUUAAGAGAGAAGGCCCUGGAGAGAGAGAGAGAGAGUGAGCGCCAGGCUUGGAAUGUGAGUUCAACUAUUAGGAGUGUGAUUUUGACUUCCCUCUGCCUCAAUCUCCUUGUGCACAAAGUAAGGACAGCAAAAGUGGUCAUGCAAAGUGUUUAGAACAGUGCCUGCCACAGAGUAAUCGCUUAAUACAUGCUCUCUAUCAUUGCUAUUCAUUUUUAUUUUAUUCUAGUUUUGAAUUACCAUGUUUCUAUAAUUUCUGAUCCAAGACUUCUUACCCUACUUUUCAAAGAUCGUGGAUAUAAUUUUUCCAGGACCAUUUCUGUUUUCCUCAUUCCUGCGCUCAUUUUAGGAACAUCUUACAUCCCACUGACUCUGUGUGUAUAAGAUUGCCCGGGAGUGUGAUGAGAGCCAGAAGAACUUGCGGGGAGGGGGACAACAGUAAUAUUAGGUCCCUUUGAUAGAAAAUAGACUGCCAAAGAAAAGUUAUCUCAGAAGUUCCUGGGGUGGGUUUCCAUAUGUGGUUGGCUAACC
Molecule: long non-coding RNA, 2627 nt
Filed under: Phocoena sinus (vaquita)
Lineage: Eukaryota; Metazoa; Chordata; Mammalia; Artiodactyla; Phocoenidae
Description: lncRNA (ENSPSNG00000009620.1)
Source: RNAcentral